Molecule: ribosomal RNA, 497 nt
Filed under: uncultured bacterium
Lineage: Bacteria
Description: partial 16S ribosomal RNA
Rfam family: Bacterial small subunit ribosomal RNA
Source: RNAcentral
GAUGAACGCUGGCGGCGUGCCUAAUACAUGCAAGUCGAGCGAACGGACGAGAAGCAUGCUUUUCUGAUGUUAGCGGCGGACGGGUGAGUAACACGUGGAUAACCUACCUAUUAGACUGGGAUAACUUCGGGAAACCGGAGCUAACACCGGAUAAUCUUUUGAACCGCAUGGUUCAAAAGUGAAAGACGGUCUUGCUGUCCCUUAUAGAUGGAUCCGCGCUGCAUUAGCUAGUUGGUAAGGUAACGGCUUACCAAGGCAACGAUGCAUAGCCGACCUGAGAGGGUGAUCGGCCACACUGGAACUGAGACACGGUCCAGACUCCUACGGGAGGCAGCAGUAGGGAAUCUUCCGCAAUGGGCGAAAGCCUGACGGAGCAACGCCGCGUGAGUGAUGAAGGUCUUCGGAUCGUAAAACUCUGUUAUUAGGGAAGAACAUAUGUGUAAGUAACUGUGCACAUCUUGACGGUACCUAAUCAGAAAGCCACGGCUAACUACGUG